GAUGAACGCUAGCGGCAGGCCUAAUACAUGCAAGUCGAACGGUAAGGCCCUUUCGGGGGUACACGAGUGGCGGACGGGUGCGUAACGCGUAUGCAACAUACCUUCAAGCGGGGGAUAUGCCAGGGAAACUUGGUGCAACACCCCAUAGCAUUUCGGGACCGCAUGGUCUUGGGAUUAAAUAUUUAUAGCUUGGAGAUUGGCAUGCGUGACAUUAGCUAGUUGGCGGGGUAACGGCCCACCAAGGCGACGAUGUCUAGCUGGUCUGAGAGGAUGAUCAGCCACACUGGGACUGAGACACGGCCCAGACUCCUACGGGAGGCAGCAGUAGGGAAUAUUGGACAAUGGGGGGAACCCUGAUCCAGCCAUGCCGCGUGAGGGAAGAAGGUCCUCUGGAUUGUAAACCUCUUUUGGCGGGGGACAAACCUGCACUAUACGUGCAGCUGAGGGUACCCGCAGAAUAAGCACCGGCUAACUCCGUGCCAGCAGCCGCGGUAA
Molecule: ribosomal RNA, 495 nt
Filed under: uncultured bacterium
Lineage: Bacteria
Description: bacterial SSU rRNA
Rfam family: Bacterial small subunit ribosomal RNA
Source: RNAcentral